RNAcentral lists this ribosomal RNA (274 nucleotides) under uncultured bacterium. RNAcentral's name for it is "partial 16S ribosomal RNA". It matches the Rfam family "Bacterial small subunit ribosomal RNA", at positions 523 to 796 of the family's 1533-position model. The record is from RNAcentral.
AUACGGAGGGGGCUAGCUUUGUUCGGAAUUACUGGGCGUAAAGCGCGCGUAGGCGGGUUGGCAAGUUGAAGGUGAAAUCCCAGGGCUCAACCCUGGAACUGCCUCCAAAACUGCCAGUCUUGAGUUCGGAAGAGGUGAGUGGAAUUCCUAGUGUAGAGGUGAAAUUCGUAGAUAUUAGGAAGAACACCAGUGGCGAAGGCGACUCACUGGUCCGAUACUGACGCUGAGGUGCGAAAGCGCGGGUAGCAAACAGGAUUAGAAACCCCGGUAGUCC